UAAGCGUGUGGUGAAAUUUUGGGGCUCAACCCCAAAACUAUUACACGAACUGCAUAGCUAGAGUAUAUGAGGGGUACCUGGAAUUCCUGGUGUAGGAGUGAAAUCCGUAGAUAUCAGGAGGAACACCAAUGGCGUAGGCAGGGUACUGGCAUAUUACUGACGCUAAGGCACGAAAGCGUGGGGAGCGAACGGGAUUAGAUACCCCGGUAGUCCACGCCGUAAACGAUGGAUGCUA
Molecule: ribosomal RNA, 235 nt
Filed under: uncultured Candidatus Saccharibacteria bacterium
Lineage: Bacteria; Candidatus Saccharimonadota
Description: partial 16S ribosomal RNA
Rfam family: Bacterial small subunit ribosomal RNA
Source: RNAcentral